Molecule: unclassified non-coding RNA, 379 nt
Filed under: plant metagenome
Description: partial contains 5.8S ribosomal RNA, internal transcribed spacer 2, and large subunit ribosomal RNA
Rfam family: 5.8S ribosomal RNA (bases 1-106)
Source: RNAcentral
CGAAAUGCGAUAAGUAAUGUGAAUUGCAGAAUUCAGUGAAUCAUCGAAUCUUUGAACGCACCUUGCGCUCCUUGGUAUUCCUUGGAGCAUGCCUGUUUGAGUAUCAUGAAAUCUUCAAAGUAAAUCUUUUGUUAACUCAAUUGGUUUCUACUUUGGUAUUGGAGGUCUUUGCAGCUUCACACCUGCUCCUCUUUGUUCAUUAGCUGGAUCUCAGUGUUAUGCUUGGUUCCACUCGGCGUGAUAAGUUAUCUAUCGCUGAGGACACUGUAAAAGGUGGCCAAGGUAAAUGCAGAUGAACCGCUUCUAAUAGUCCAUUGACUUGGACAAUACUUUUAUGAUCUGAUCUCAAAUCAGGUAGGAAUACCCGCUGAACUUAAGC